This 495-nucleotide ribosomal RNA is filed under the name uncultured bacterium. RNAcentral's name for it is "bacterial SSU rRNA". It matches the Rfam family "Bacterial small subunit ribosomal RNA", at positions 1035 to 1529 of the family's 1533-position model. The record is from RNAcentral.
CAGGUGGUGCAUGGUUGUCGUCAGCUCGUGUCGUGAGAUGUUGGGUUAAGUCCCGCAACGAGCGCAACCCUUAUCCUUAGUAGCCAGCACGUAAUGGUGGGCACUCUGGGGAGACUGCCAUGGAUAACCUGGAGGAAGGUGGGGAUGACGUCAAAUCAUCAUGCCCCUUAUGAUUUGGGCUACACACGUGCUACAAUGGCGUAAACAAAGGGAGGCAAAGGAGCGAUCCGGAGCAAACCCCAAAAAUAACGUCUCAGUCCGGAUUGCAGGCUGCAACUCGCCUGCAUGAAGCUGGAAUCGCUAGUAAUCGCGAAUCAGAAUGUCGCGGUGAAUACGUUCCCGGGUCUUGUACACACCGCCCGUCACACCAUGGGAGUUGGUAACGCCCGAAGUCAGUGACCCAACCGAAAGGAGGGAGCUGCCGAAGGCGGGACUGAUAACUGGGGUGAAGUCGUAACAAGGUAGCCGUAUCGGAAGGUGCGGCUGGAUCACCUC